RNAcentral lists this transfer RNA (75 nucleotides) under Lachnospiraceae bacterium. RNAcentral describes it as "tRNA-Cys". It matches the Rfam family "tRNA". From Rfam's summary of the family: Transfer RNA (tRNA) molecules are approximately 80 nucleotides in length. Their secondary structure includes four short double-helical elements and three loops (D, anti-codon, and T loops). The record is from RNAcentral. Lineage: Bacteria; Bacillati; Bacillota; Clostridia; Lachnospirales; Lachnospiraceae.
GGGAAUGUGGCGUAAAUGGUAAAGCGGUCGGGAACAAAGUUCCCGGCGAUUGUGAGUUCGAUUCUCACCAUUCCA